GCUCAUAUAAACUGGCUGCACGCUGGGCCAUCAUAUUCAGGAGACAAGACAUUUUGGUACAUAAGGCCAGGAAAAAAGCCCUGCUGCACAGCUUUGAAUAGCACAGUUGUUCUUGGUUAGGGCUUGUCUAUACUUACAUGUUACAGUGCUCUAACUUGCUGGCCGAGGAGUGUGAAAAAUCACCCCCCUGAGCGCAGCAAGUCUGAGCGCUUUAAAGCACUCGUGUGGACAGGCUCCGAGUGCUGGGAGUAGAGCUAUUCCCCUCGUGGAGGUGGAUUACCAGGAGCGCUGGGAGAGCCCUCUCCCAGCGCUCGCACGUGACCACGCUCACACAUCAAAGCGCUGCCGCAAGAGUGCUCCCACGGCACUGCUUUGAAGUUUCUAGUGUAGACAUACUCUGCAAGGGGGC
Molecule: long non-coding RNA, 409 nt
Organism: Chelonia mydas (Green sea turtle)
Lineage: Eukaryota; Metazoa; Chordata; Testudines; Cheloniidae
Exons: 3
Source: RefSeq, a predicted model, not a curated record